AUGGGCAAGUCGAGCAAGAAGUCUGCUGUUGAGGUUGCACCUGCCGCUGGGCUGGUCCCAGGUGGAAAAUCUGGAAAGAAAGGCAAGAGGAAUGCGGAAGAUGACAUCGAGAAGGCUGUCAGUGCCAAGAAGCAGAAAACUGCCCCUGAGAAGGCCGUGCCUGUGAAGAAUGAUCUUAAAGUCAAGAAGAAGCUCCCUCCAAAGAAGGUCGAGAGCAGCAGUUCUGAUGAGGAUUCUUCAGAAUCCGAAGAUGAGGUGAUGGUUCAACCAAAGAAGGCUGCACCGUCUGCUAAACAGGAGUCCAGCUCUGAUAGCAGCGAUGAGAGCAGUUCUGAUGACGAACCUGCAAAAAAGCCUGCUACUGCUUCAAAGAAACCUGCUGCACUUGCUAGCAAUGGUUCAAAGAAAGUCAAGUCUGACAGCAGCAGCUCUGACAGCAGCUCCGAUGAGGAUGUGAUGGUCCCACCCAAGAAGGCUGCACAAUCUGCUAAACAGGAGUCCAGCUCUGAAGGUAGUGAUGAGAGCAGCUCCGAUGAUGAACCUGCAAAGAAACCUGCUGCCGCUUCAAAGAAACCUGCUGCAAAGACUGAAGAUUCAGAUAGCAGCAGCUCUGAUGAGGAUGAAGAUAUGCUUCCCGCUAAAGCACCAGCAACAGCCAAGAAGAUUGAAGAAUCCAGUGAAAGUUCUGAUUCUGAAAGCUCUGACUCUGAGAAGCCAGCUACUGAAGUGAAGAAUUCUGUGGUUGCCACUGCACAAAAGAAAAACCAGGACGGCUCUGACAGUGAUUCUGAUGAUUCAUCAGAUGAGGAUAUGGCCACUAAAAAACCAGUAGCCAAGAAAGUGGUAGAAUCCAGUGAAAGUUCUGAUUCUGACUCUGAGGAGGAGGAUACCACUGCUAAACCAGUUCAAUCUUCCAAGGCUGGUAAGAAGGGCAAAGAAUCUAGUGAUAGCUCAGAUUCUGACUCAGAUUCAGAUUCUGAAGAAGAUACCACCGCUAAAACAGUCUCUGUAAAGAAAGAAGAAUCUAGUGGCAGCUCAGAUAGUGACUCGGAUUCAGAUUCUGAUGAACCAGCAAAAUCUACUAUUCCUGCGAAGAGGCCUCUGACAACAGAGAAAAAGAGUGAACAUUCCAAGGAUGAUUCUGAUGAUAGUUCUGAUGAGAGUGAUGAGGAAGAGCCUCCACAAAAGAAGCCUAAGGAUUCAUCUUCUGGUGCUGCCAAGCCAGUCUCUAAGGCUGCCAAGAAAGAAAGCAGUGAUGAUGAUGACAGUUCUGAAGAGAGCUCUGACAGUGAUGAGGAAAAGAGUAAAUCGGUGUCAGUGGCAAAACCCAAGCAGAACGAACCAAAAACUCCUGCCAGCAGUGGUCAAGCUACUACUGGGUCAAAGACCCUUUUUGUUGGGAAUCUGUCAUACAAUGUGGAGACUGAACAAGUGAAGCAAUUUUUUGGGGAGGCUGGUGAGGUUAUGGAUAUUCGUUUUGCUACCGCUGAUGAUGGGAGCUUCAAGGGUUUUGCACAUGUUGAAUUUGCUACAACUGAAGCUGCUCAAAAGGCAUACGAAUUAAAUGGAGGAGAUUUGGCGGGGAGGCCUGUCAGGCUUGAUUUUGCUCGUGAGCGAGGCGCUAUUACUCCUGGCAGCGGGAGGGACAAUAGUUCUUUCAAGAAGCCUGGUCAAAGCAAUACCGCUUUUGUUAGAGGAUUUGAUUCAUCUCUUGGGGAGGAAGAGAUCCGAAGCUCGCUUCAAGGGCAUUUUAGCUCAUGUGGAGAUAUUAGAAGAGUUUCAAUCCCAAAGGAUUAUGAUACUGGCGCAAGCAAAGGGAUAGCGUACAUAGAAUUUGAUGACAUCAGUUCUUUGCCCAAAGCGCUCGAGCUGAACGGGUCUAACAUUGGAGAAGGCUUAAGCUUGUUUGUUGAUGAAGCCAAGCCUAGGGCUGAUAACAGAGAUGGCGCUGAUAGUGGUAACAGGAGCGCAGGAAGAUUUAAUGGGGGCGGGGGCCGCAGAGGAAGAUUUGACGGGGGCGGGGGCCGCAGAGGUGGAAGGUUUGACGGGGGUGCGGGCCGCAGAGGUGGUGGAAGAUUUGGCCGGGGUGACAGAGGCGGCCGGAGUGACAGGGGCCGUGGUCGGGGUGGUGCACCCCCCAGGCAGAGUGCUGGCACACCUAGUGCAGGGAAGAAGAUAACUUUCGGUGAUGACUGA
RNAcentral lists this ribosomal RNA (2196 nucleotides) under Triticum aestivum (bread wheat). RNAcentral describes it as "partial small subunit ribosomal RNA". The record is from RNAcentral. Lineage: Eukaryota; Viridiplantae; Streptophyta; Magnoliopsida; Poales; Poaceae.